GUUCCCGUAGUGUAGUGGUUAGCACGCAGGAUUUUGAUUCCUGAGACGCGAGUUCAAUUCUCGCCGGGAGCU
This 72-nucleotide transfer RNA is filed under the name Eutypa lata UCREL1. Its description in RNAcentral is "tRNA-Gln (TTG) (tRNA-Gln-TTG-1-1)". It matches the Rfam family "tRNA". From Rfam's summary of the family: Transfer RNA (tRNA) molecules are approximately 80 nucleotides in length. Their secondary structure includes four short double-helical elements and three loops (D, anti-codon, and T loops). Lineage: Eukaryota; Fungi; Ascomycota; Sordariomycetes; Xylariales; Diatrypaceae. The record is from RNAcentral.